AUUGCCUCAUUUGACAAGGAUCUGGAGACAGCAGCUCGCUUUGGAUCCCAGAGAUGAUUCCAGAUGGAAAGAAGGAAGGAAAGGAGGGAAGAAGAACACAUUUAUAGAAACCAUGGAUUAUUUUUAAGUGCCUUAAAAUAUGGAUUCUGCAUCAGCAGUUGUGGGAAGAGGCAGGACUCUGUAUUUCUAACAAGACCACAGGUGAUGCUGACACUCAUGGUCCUCAGACCACACUGAAUGAUGAGGCCUUUCAACUCAGAAUCCAGACUUAAGAUCAAAUAAGGAUCUUAUGGCUGAAAAGCUUCCAGGUACACUUCUCUGAGUAACCAGUACACUGGGGAAAAAGUGGAAACCAGGACUGUUCCAGGCAAGCCUAGCUGUUGGGGACCCUCCCAUACCAUGCGGCUGGCCAGCCUCUCCUGCAUAUAGCGUCCACCCCUAAUGAGAUCCUGGAAGAGCAUUGCCUGCUUGCCUUGUACACCCUCCUCAGUACUCAGGCAACCACGUUUCCUAGAGAUUAUCUCAAGAAAACCUCGAGGGACUUGUCAUCAGGUCUCAUGUCCAGGUGCAGAUCCCCUAGUUAUGGCCCCGAACAGAUACAUCCUCCUGCAAACAGGCUUUUGACGUGUACUAAGGAAGCUUUGGCAAUUUAUAUCACCCCCAGUAGUAUGGAUAUUAAAGGAUGUUAAUAUAUCAUUUAAUGUUAAUGUUGUCAGAAGCAGAAGGUGGAGCCAGCAAGCAAUUCAGCAGACAAGGGAAAUCAGCACCAUGAGCUCGCAUCCACAGCUGUUGCUGUCCCUGUGUCCUUGGGAAGAGCUACCUGAUGGAAGAAGGUCUCAUUUGAGUUUCUGCCCUGUUUUCUUCAUUUCAUCAAGUGUAGCUCUCCAUCUAUGAAAGCCAGCAACCCUCAGCUUGGCCACGCUGUGGGCACAAAGUCACACCAGCUGUAAAACCCACCUCUCACUGAAGAAAAAGCCCCUGGUGCUCAAACAGGAAGUCCAGUCUCUGCAGCUGCCUUAGAAGACUUUGUUCUGGGAGCCCCGUCUUCCCCAGAGGCAUCUGGCAAGAGUUCGCAAACCCCCCUGCCAGAAGCAUCACUGUGGGUAUCUGCUCUUUGCGCUUCCCACUGCUCUUCUGGGAAACUCUGCUUAAAAGCCACCCACGGAAGCUUCGCAGUUUUUCCUGUUGCCAAUGCUAACCAAGAAAAAUCGAGUCUAAGCAGGGGCUGCCUGCCGAAGCCGCCUAGGCUGUUGCUUGUCCAGGGGCCAGCGUGGAGCCAGGUUCCAUGCAGAAGUGGGGAGAAAGGCUGUUUCCUCCGCCCUCUGCGCUGCUCUCCCAGGGGAAGCAGGGACUCUGGCUCACCAAUUCUGCAAGAAGCCACUUUAACUCUCAGUCUGCUCUGGCCAGCUUCCCCGCUUCAUGGUGCGGAUGCAGUGGCAGCCCGUCGAGUUCAUUCGCUACAGGAAAGGGGAUGGUAAAUGGACUGUUAAGAGGAAGCCGGUCCUGGCAGGGUGCUUUUGAUGGGCAAAAGGACAUGAUGACAGGCGCCGACGAAGCAUUCCUCUCCACCUUGUGGGAAAGAGCACAAGCCUGGAACAGGUGCAGUCACACACACACACACACACACACACACACACACACACACACACACACACACACACACACACUGGAACUUGUAACUGCUUACUCAUCUCAAAUAACUUAAAGCAUGUCAUCACCACUCGAGGCCACAGGAAUGAAUCCUGCCACAGAGUGGAGAUCUGUUUUCUUCCUUAAAGCCCUCAGAGUGUUCUGCUUCAAUUCCCUGCAUGGGAUGUAGAUAUAUUAAAUACCAAAAAAAAAUGACCAUAAAGUGAACAUUAUGGUUGAGAAAUGAGGUCCAAGGAUGCCAAGAAAUUCAAAACUGAGUGUUCCCCCAGCAGCUCUAACUCAGCCAUUUUUGCACUAAUGCGUCCUUUCCCAUUUCGGAAUCCUCGGUGGAACACCCAUUUCAUAUGGACUCUGGAUCCUUCAGUUGAGCCAGGGGAGGAAUGCCUGGAGUCCCUCUGUUCCUUCUCACUUCCUCAGGUCGUGGGAAAAACCCCCUCUCAGACCCUUCCACGGAGCCCUUGAACGGGGCCAGGCAUGGCACAGCAUGCUCUAGAGCCUGGAGCGGGGGCAGGGAGGGGGCAGCCCAGCCCCAGGAAGCUGGACCAGUUCCCUUCCCCAGCCGCUCCCUGAGAGCCAAGAGGCUAGUCCUGGCUCCACACAGCAACUGUAUCCAUGCUGAUAUGCGGGAUGCAUUAGUGGUUCCACACAACUGAUGUGCUCAGGCACCUCCAGGGUACAUUAGUGGAAGAGGCUUCAGCAGCUGGUGGCUCCUCUUCAGGCAUAAUUUAUCUAUUGCACUUUACUUAAUGUGCAAAAUUAAAUUUAUGCUGAAUCCAUGUGUAUUACCUACUGUGCAUGAGCAGCAUGAAAUAUACCAUAAAGCAAAUCAGCACAGAGCCAUGCUCUUAAUUGCUAAUGGCUUUCAACACACUUCAUUGUGGUCUAACCAAACUUGGACUCUGCUCUACACUAAGAAUCCUGCUCGUAUCAAGGUUGAAAAUGCUUCUCCCAGAGAACUUCUGGAGAACCGAAGGACCAAACAGAAAUGCUUUUGAGCCAGUCUUUCUAGAGCCUGUGUCUUUUAGAGCACAGAUUCUGUGCUUUGCACUAAUGUGAUCGAUACAGUUGCUACAUAGGACAUGAUUUUGCUGAAAAUGAACAAAUCAAUGUCAACUUUUUAAAAGUGGAAUAUAAGAAAUAACCCCAGGAUUCAGUCCAAGUUCUGCCAAUUUGGGUUUCUGGUUCCAUAUAGUAAAACAUAGGGAUUAGAAUGGUUGAUUUCCACCC
This 2877-nucleotide long non-coding RNA is filed under the name Sus scrofa (pig). Its description in RNAcentral is "lncRNA (ENSSSCG00060007176.1)". The record is from RNAcentral. Lineage: Eukaryota; Metazoa; Chordata; Mammalia; Artiodactyla; Suidae.